GCAUGGAUUUUAAUUUAUGGUAGGCCUGUCCUUCUAGGCCUCUCAUGGUGUCCCAUGCCAGAGUAAACCAUGACCCAAACCAUUUCCUGGCCUCUGUGUUCAUAGGCUGCUGGCUAAAGUGGGUCAGACAAUA
Small nucleolar RNA from Ictidomys tridecemlineatus (thirteen-lined ground squirrel), 133 nucleotides. NCBI's taxonomy places the organism in Eukaryota, Metazoa, Chordata, Mammalia, Rodentia, Sciuridae. The record is from Ensembl.